AUGCACAAAGAUUUGAGUUCAAAACUCUUUAGCUGACCAACUCAAACAAUGCCUCUUUCUGUUCCUCACUUCAUCUCUGUCAGCAGAUUUUCAGACCUCAAUGGUGUAAAGGUACGUGGUUCACCAAGGUGUUUUCGGAGAGAUUGUAAAGUAUUUACAGUUAUAUCAAUGUCAAAAGAGGCAUCAAAUUAUAUACCAGCAGCUCCUAUAUUUCUCCCUGAAGGACCAUGGCAACAGAUUCCUGGUGGUGUUACUGCUGCAAAGGGUUUCAAAGCUGCUGGGAUGUAUGGUGGAUUGCGUGCUCUUGGAGAGAAACCUGAUCUCGCACUCGUCACUUGUGAUGUAGAUGCCAUAUCUGCAGGGGCAUUUACUACAAAUGUUGUUGCAGCUGCACCUGUACUAUACUGUAAAAGCGCACUAAAU
Molecule: unclassified non-coding RNA, 423 nt
Filed under: Hevea brasiliensis (rubber tree)
Lineage: Eukaryota; Viridiplantae; Streptophyta; Magnoliopsida; Malpighiales; Euphorbiaceae
Source: RNAcentral